This 1780-nucleotide long non-coding RNA is filed under the name Diuraphis noxia (Russian wheat aphid). Its description in RNAcentral is "uncharacterized LOC107168194, transcript variant X2". The record is from RNAcentral. Lineage: Eukaryota; Metazoa; Arthropoda; Insecta; Hemiptera; Aphididae.
AAAUAGAAAAAAAAAAAUCAAACACAUUAGGAGGGAUAAGUGAAAGUGGACAUUGACUGUUAAUGUUGAUCUAUUCAGUUAAAUACAACAUUAGGAGAAAAAUAUGUUGAAUAUUGAAAUUUAAUUAGUCUAAAUAUUAUGAACUAAAUAAUUUUUUUNUCUUAUUUUUCUUGCGAAAAAAUGUUAAUAACUCUGAGUAAGUACUAAACUUAGAAUUAAUUGUUAAAAUAGUUAUAUUACCAGUCUGUUAAGUAUUAUAUAAGAUUUAAGUCACUAAUGUAACUUGGUACCUACUAAAAUUUCAAACAAGACUUUGUUUCAUGAGGUACCUAAACAGUUUUCAAAGAUAAAUUUGUAUCAUUUAAAAUUCUUUGAAACAUACGUAAUUAGUUUAAAAUCUAAUGAAUUUUUUUAAUGUAAUAUGUAAGACUAGUAUUUGACCACAUUGCAUCGAACAAACUGCCUGUAAAUAAUCUAGAUCUUGUUGAAGCCCAUUAUCUUUAUUGAGUUGAUGUUGUCAAUUCGUGCCUCGUGGAUGACUUCUGGAGGUGUACAAUAUCGUAUUUCUUCUUUUGCUACGCUGAGUACUUGACAUUGUAUCCUAACAAGUUCCGAAGCGAUAUCAUUCCUCAUUUGGUAAAAAUGCACUCUCAAAGGAUAUAGGUACUUACAGAAAAUAGAAAUAGAGUUUACACGGCACAUUUUCGAUCGAGAGAAAGCAUUGUUUUUCUGUGCUCUAAUGCUUAGNAAAAGAAGUCUCUGAUUUUAAGAGGACGCCAUAUCCGCAUGUGUUGACUCCGCUUACAAGUGCGUAACAAAGCAAAUUUUACGUUCUGAAGAUCAUGUUUAGCUCCUUUAGUUUAAAAAUCAGAGUGAAUUGACCUCUUAUAAAAUUAAAGAUUUGUACAAGGCUUGAUGUCGUGAUAGAAGAGGGUGCCCAGUGACACUACUUCAAACUUGAACAACAUAAGCUGCUGAUUUUUGUUUUAUGGCUAUUAUGAGAAGGUCAAUAUUUGAUAAAUUUCCACAUUAUGUCAGUAUACUAAAAUGNGUCGAUUUAGAAUUAUCUUGUCGCAUCAAGAAAUGAAUUUUAUUUAAUAAAAUAAUAAAAUAUACAAAGUUGAGGAUAAAUAAACAAAUUCAAGGAACAAAAAAGUCAAAACUGGAUAACAAUUUCUUCAAAUCAAUAAAUGUCUUAGAAAAAUAAGAAAACUAACACAGUGAAAAUUAUUUUUUUCACAAUCAGAGUUUCAACAAUAUUAUUCAUUUCUAAUUGGACAAGAAUUCAAGAUUUCCAGAUCGGAAAAUAAAUAUUAGAAAAAUUAUCGCGUACAGAGUUGCGCUGUUGCAACUUAGAAUUAUUUACAUAUUAUGAAGAAACCGCAUUCAAGAUUCAUCAAAAUCUUAACUAAGCUCAAUAACUGACAGUCAAACAAUCUGAAAAAAAAAUGUUUGGGUUAUAAUUUCCUUACUUAAAUGCUUAUAACAAUCAAUCAAUGAAUAAUUUUGUUUGAUCAUAACUGGGUCACAAAAAACAUAUUUAAUGAUGCAAUUAUGUCAAACUCAUGGUCAAAUAAUCAAUUACUUGAAUAAUGUUUUAGAUUUAAUAAUAAAAAAUGUACUCAAUAGACCUAUAGAUAUCUGUUUUUAAUGUUUUCUUUCUGUUUUAAAAAAUUGAUUUGUACUGUCUUUUUUAAAUUUAUGUUUUAGUGGUAAUGUUUCCUAACUCAUUAUGGUCAUAAUUGAUCUCAAUAUUAUUAUAAUUUAUAAUUUUUUGCGC